UCUCACUGACGCGAUGGGCUACGAAAGG
RNAcentral lists this small RNA (28 nucleotides) under Bombyx mori (domestic silkworm). Its description in RNAcentral is "piRNA piR-bmo-2239873". The record is from RNAcentral. Lineage: Eukaryota; Metazoa; Arthropoda; Insecta; Lepidoptera; Bombycidae.